CCUUCCCAGUAAAGGAAAAAGAAUGUAAAACCUUUCUCUGCUGCCAGUGUCAGUACAACUACGGCAUGAUUACAUCCCCAGGGCCAGUCAAGCAGAUAAAAGAGUUGUUCAGCAUGGGACUCUGUUCCAAGCCAGUUGCUUUGAUACAUACAUUUCUGUUCAUCCAAAGCUUUCUGCGUUGUAUCUUCAGAUCUCUUCAUGCUCUGUUUCUUCUUAUAGAUCAUCUUCAGUGCUGUACAUAUAGUCCUCAUCCAGGAAAUACAGCAUCACACACAUAAGAAGCUUCUGAAAUACUUUUUAUGUGCCCAUUUACAGUAGGUAGUGAUUCCGGACUUAUUUUUUUCUACUUCCAAAACUUCACAGCAACAGGCAAGAAAUUGUAUCAAACAUUAAGGAGGUGUUGAGUUUUCACCAAUAAGCUAAUUGCUGUGUGAUCUUUUCUCCAUGCCUCUAACGCUAAGAAGCUAAAUGUUUCCCAGGUACCAAAAGAAAAUAUAUGUUGCCCUUUGAAGAAUUUUCAUAUGUGCAGCUGGUUAGACACAAUGCUGGGUGAGGACUGAAAAACAAGUUUUCUGUAGACUGUCUCUUAAAGACAGCACGUAUCUUGUUGGGGACUGAAAUAUUAGAAUCCUAGUGAAAUAUCUGGUUCUCAUACUAAUAAAGUGACUCCUGUCAUGUAUCUUCCAGCCAUAGGUGGCUUGCUUUUGUACAACUAUAAAGUACUUUUUCCUUCAGGUAAAAAAAAUUCCUGUGGAUGAAAAUAGCAUCACAGGCACAUAUGUUGAAAAGAUCUAGACAAUAACCUAGAUGCAUGGCAGAGUCAUCAAAGAUAAGAAUCCUGUCUUUUCCUUCCAAGACAAGAAGGGGAGUGAACCAGAGAUUGAAGCUUUCUGUGGUAUUUAAGCAGAAGUCACAUCAGUUGCCGAGAGGGAGGAUCUGCAAGUUUUGGCACCCAAACCUUCUGACUAGGCUGAGGGACAGAGCUGACAGAGCCGCGAGGACGAUGCCUGAGGCCCUGGGGCACAGCAACAAGCACAGUUGCACACCAGCAAGGCCAGAGCUUGGAGCAUGCUGGGGAAACUCAACCCAGACAAUUGCAUUGGGCCUGAUCCUGCCGUCAUUUGUAGAGAGUGACAGAAAAUAGGGAAGGUAAGAACCUUACAAGGAGACCUGGCCCAUCUGUCUUCAGCCUGUCACCCUAAAGAGCAGAUUUUACUACGUGGUGCUUUUCAUUUGCUUUGAAUGGCCAUAUAAUAACACAAAUCUUUAUGUUAAGUGCUGGUAAUGCAGAAAACAGUCCUACUGUCAUGCUCAUUUUGCAAGGAAGUUUAGGGAUAGUUUAGAUAGUUGAGACAACUCAACUUCCAGUUACAUAUUUGAAUAAAUCUUCACUUUACCAAGGCUGCUUUUUGUUU
Molecule: long non-coding RNA, 1415 nt
Filed under: Anas platyrhynchos platyrhynchos (common mallard)
Lineage: Eukaryota; Metazoa; Chordata; Aves; Anseriformes; Anatidae
Description: lncRNA (ENSAPLG00000026775.1)
Source: RNAcentral